GAUGAACGCUGGCGGCGUGCCUAAUACAUGCAAGUCGAGCGAACAGACGAGGAGCUUGCUCCUCUGACGUUAGCGGCGGACGGGUGAGUAACACGUGGAUAACCUACCUAUAAGACUGGGAUAACUUCGGGAAACCGGAGCUAAUACCGGAUAAUAUAUUGAACCGCAUGGUUCAAUAGUGAAAGACGGUCUUGCUGCCACUUAUAGAUGGAUCCGCGCUGCAUUAGCUAGUUGGUAAGGUAACGGCUUACCAAGGCGACGAUGCGUAGCCGACCUGAGAGGGUGAUCGGCCACACUGGAACUGAGACACGGUCCAGACUCCUACGGGAGGCAGCAGUAGGGAAUCUUCCGCAAUGGGCGAAAGCCUGACGGAGCAACGCCGCGUGAGUGAUGAAGGUCUUCGGAUCGUAAAACUCUGUUAUUAGGGAAGAACAAAUGUGUAAGUAACUAUGCACGUCUUGACGGUACCUAAUCAGAAAGCCACGGCUAACUACGUG
RNAcentral lists this ribosomal RNA (497 nucleotides) under uncultured bacterium. RNAcentral describes it as "partial 16S ribosomal RNA". It matches the Rfam family "Bacterial small subunit ribosomal RNA", at positions 28 to 507 of the family's 1533-position model. The record is from RNAcentral.